GUAUCAUGGCUCAGGAUGAACGCUAGCUACAGGCUUAACACAUGCAAGUCGAGGGGGCGAGCAUGAACUUAGCUUGCUAAGUUUGAUGGCGACCGGCGCACGGGUGAGUAACACGUAUCCAACCUGCCGAUGACUCGGGGAUAGCCUUUCGAAAGAAAGAUUAAUACCCGAUGGCAUAGUUCUUCCGCAUGGUAGAACUAUUAAAGAAUUUCGGUCAUCGAUGGGGAUGCGUUCCA
This 236-nucleotide ribosomal RNA is filed under the name uncultured bacterium. RNAcentral describes it as "partial 16S ribosomal RNA". It matches the Rfam family "Bacterial small subunit ribosomal RNA", at positions 14 to 240 of the family's 1533-position model. The record is from RNAcentral.